UUAUAUGAGAGUUUGAUCCUGGCUCAGGACGAACGCUGGCGGCGUGCCUAAUACAUGCAAGUAGGACGCACAGUCUAUACCGUAGCUUGCUACACCAUAGACUGUGAGUUGCGAACGGGUGAGUAACGCGUAGGUAACCUGCCUAUUAGAGGGGGAUAACUAUUGGAAACGAUAGCUAAUACCGCAUAACAGUAUGUAACACAUGUUAGAUGCUUGAAAGAUGCAAUUGCAUCGCUAGUAGAUGGACCUGCGUUGUAUUAGCUAGUAGGUAGGGUAAUGGCCUACCUAGGCGACGAUACAUAGCCGACCUGAGAGGGUGAUCGGCCACACUGGGACUGAGACACGGCCCAGACUCCUACGGGAGGCAGCAGUAGGGAAUCUUCGGCAAUGGGGGGAACCCUGACCGAGCAACGCCGCGUGAGUGAAGAAGGUUUUCGGAUCGUAAAGCUCUGUUGUUAAGGAAGAACGAGUGUGAGAAUGGAAAGUUCAUACUGUGACGGUACUUAACCAGAAAGGGACGGCUAACUACGUGCCAGCAGCCGCGGUAAUACGUAGGUCCCGAGCGUUGUCCGGAUUUAUUGGGCGUAAAGCGAGCGCAGGCGGUUAGAAAAGUCUGAAGUGAAAGGCAGUGGCUCAACCAUUGUAGGCUUUGGAAACUGUUUAACUUGAGUGCAGAAGGGGAGAGUGGAAUUCCAUGUGUAGCGGUGAAAUGCGUAGAUAUAUGGAGGAACACCGGUGGCGAAAGCGGCUCUCUGGUCUGUAACUGACGCUGAGGCUCGAAAGCGUGGGGAGCGAACAGGAUUAGAUACCCUGGUAGUCCACGCCGUAAACGAUGAGUGCUAGGUGUUGGGUCCUUUCCGGGACUCAGUGCCGCAGCUAACGCAUUAAGCACUCCGCCUGGGGAGUACGACCGCAAGGUUGAAACUCAAAGGAAUUGACGGGGGCCCGCACAAGCGGUGGAGCAUGUGGUUUAAUUC
Molecule: ribosomal RNA, 977 nt
Filed under: Klebsiella oxytoca
Lineage: Bacteria; Pseudomonadati; Pseudomonadota; Gammaproteobacteria; Enterobacterales; Enterobacteriaceae
Also listed under: 1 other name
Description: bacterial SSU rRNA
Rfam family: Bacterial small subunit ribosomal RNA
Source: RNAcentral